This 335-nucleotide ribosomal RNA is filed under the name Herbaspirillum sp. RNAcentral's name for it is "bacterial SSU rRNA". It matches the Rfam family "Bacterial small subunit ribosomal RNA", at positions 569 to 904 of the family's 1533-position model. The record is from RNAcentral. Lineage: Bacteria; Pseudomonadati; Pseudomonadota; Betaproteobacteria; Burkholderiales; Oxalobacteraceae.
GCGCAGGCGGUUGUGCAAGACAGAUGUGAAAUCCCCGGGCUCAACCUGGGAAUUGCAUUUGUGACUGCACGGCUAGAGUGUGUCAGAGGGGGGUAGAAUUCCACGUGUAGCAGUGAAAUGCGUAGAUAUGUGGAGGAAUACCGAUGGCGAAGGCAGCCCCCUGGGAUAACACUGACGCUCAUGCACGAAAGCGUGGGGAGCAAACAGGAUUAGAUACCCUGGUAGUCCACGCCCUAAACGAUGUCUACUAGUUGUCGGGUCUUAAUUGACUUGGUAACGCAGCUAACGCGUGAAGUAGACCGCCUGGGGAGUACGGUCGCAAGAUUAAAACUCAA